Monodelphis domestica (gray short-tailed opossum) is the source of this 1544-nucleotide long non-coding RNA. RefSeq lists it as uncharacterized. The record is from RefSeq and is a predicted model, not a curated record. Lineage: Eukaryota; Metazoa; Chordata; Mammalia; Didelphimorphia; Didelphidae.
GGUUUGCGUAAGAGGGAGAGAGAUGGGGAGAGAGGAAGAAAUGGAGACAUUGGUGCUGGAGAGUUACUCCUCCACUCAAAGGAGCCCAUCUCAUCUCUCUCUCUGCUGCAUGCCCCUCUCCUUGGCUCACUUGGCUAGGGUCUGUUCCUGACAGAAGGACUGCCUGUUUGUUGGGGGGUGGGGGGGAGUGUGUAUAUGUAUGUGUGUGUGUGUGUGUGUGUGUGUGUUUUAAAUACCAAAAAAAAAAAACCGUGGCUACAAUCAGCUGCUGAGAGGAUCUCUCCGGUUUAGUUCCUGCCAAUUUCCCUCGGAGCUGGCACUGCAGGGGACUCCAGAGGCAUAGAGGAGAAGGAAGAGGUGAGGGAGGGUGGUUUGGGAAGGGAGGAGAAAUGGACACAUGCCAUCGAUGGAGCGACAAGGCUCUGGCUGCCAGAGUGCCAGCAGGCAGCAUGGGGCCAAAAAAAAAAAAAUCCAACAAAACAAAACCCACAACAAAUAGCUGGCAACUCGUCCUGAAGCAGGCGGCGUCUGAGUUGGCAGAGGUGCCAUGGAGGACAAGGCUGCAGCAUGCAGGCGAACCCGGAGAGUGAACAAGCGAGCCGGGGAGAGAUGUGGCGACACACGCGAUGCAGGGUGACCUGGUGCCAUGAGACAGAGGAUGAGCUGGAGUUCACAGGAUGCCUCAGAUGAAAAGUGAUGGAGCCUACAUAUAGCAGACAGCAAGUUCACGAUUCCAAGAUUCCCAAGAAGCAGAGCAAACCAGUGCCUGUUCUGAGGGCUAGAGGAGAGGCACAGAAAGUCCUUGGCUAGGCUGAGGGUACUUGGCUACUCUAGUUCUUCCUACAGAAGGCUUUCUCCACAGGAUCUCCCUUUUUCCCAUGGAAUUUGUGGGUUAACGCCUUUUGAGAUGCUGCUGCCUCUGCCUUCUAACCUGAAUUGUUCCUCUUCCAUGUGCUCAGACCCACCUCUCCCCAUUGGAAGAAUAUUCAGCCUGGGUUCAAGGAACUCUGGAAAAAUGUAGGACUUCUCCUAAGGCUUGUGCUCCUCUGGUGUCUGACUGCUCCUGCUUCCUUUGCAAUGGAAUUAUGAGAUGCAUGGGCCUCCUGGGACUUGGCUCCCUGGGCCCUGUGUGUGCUUUUUUUCCAAGGGCUGGGUUUGGGCACAUCUGGUUGCUGUCAGGCUUUGAAAUCCUUGGCUCACAUUCCUGGGGCAGCUGGGAGCAGGACUCAGGCUACGUGGUAGGGGAGGGGAGAGAUGAUGGGCACUGCCCCCCAGGGAUGAUCUCAGGGAAGAGGAGUUUUUUGGCCAUUGCUGACACUCCCCACCUCCAGACCCCCCCCCCCCCCCCAGUGGAAGCCAUAUCUCUCAUGGUCUGCAAUCUCUUGUGGGCUCUGGGGGCUGAGGCAGCAGCGGAGGAGGGGGCCAGCGCACAGGGGGUUAACCGCUGAUUACAGCCUUUGUCUCUGCAUCAGUGUACAUAAUGCGUUCUUCAUUUGCAUACUGCAGUGUGCGCUCAAUUAAAAUGAACUUUUAAUUUCUUCUAA